This 900-nucleotide unclassified non-coding RNA is filed under the name Hevea brasiliensis (rubber tree). Lineage: Eukaryota; Viridiplantae; Streptophyta; Magnoliopsida; Malpighiales; Euphorbiaceae. The record is from RNAcentral.
AGCGAGAUUGCAAAGGAGCUAGAAGAACAGCCUUCAGGGGAUUCUGAUUUCAAUCGGAUUCAGCUUCUAAAUUCUCAAUCCUAAUCUGUUUUUCGAGGGAGCAAUUAUGGAAGAUUCGUCCUCUCAAUCCUUCUUCAGGAGGCACUGGGAAGGCUACAAGGAAUUUUGGUCCGAGAGAUUCUCCAUCCUCGACAACUAUUCCCCCUUCAUCCAGCGCCAGGCCCCUCUUCCUCCAUGGUCUUCCUCCGAUGUCGAGGAAUUCAUUGCUUCCGACCCCGUUCAUGGCCCCGUUUUGAAGACUGCCAAAGAAGCUGUAAACUUUGGUCUUACAGGAAGUGUUAUUGGAGCUGUAUCAACUGCAGGUGUUACAUGGAAAUACUCAAGAAGUCUACAUGGCACUGGACUGUCAUUCCUGGCGGGAGGUGUAUUCGGUUGGACUUUCGGCCAUGAGAUUGCAAAUCAUUGGUAUCAACUCUACAGGGUGGACAUCAUGGGUGCACAAGUUAAGUUUAUGGAAUGGUGGAGAAACAAGAAUGAGGGACGUUUUUAAAACUCUGAGUUUGCAGUUGAAGGCAGCACACACACUGCAGCUGCCAUCUAAUAAAAACGUAAGUGCAACUUUGUUGAAAUACAAUGGUUGAUUGGUUUGUUUUGUGCUGAACUCUUCCAACCCCAAGUUUAGAAAAUGACUGUAUCCUUUUCUAUAUUCUGGAAAUGACUUGUUCCUUUGCAAGCUUGUUAGAAAUGUAGUCAUCUUUACCAAAUGCUUCCUGAUCCUGGGUGUUGAGUUAGGGUCUAAAGCAUGUCCAGACUGAAUACACUUGUCUUGUUUAAACAUUGCCUCAAAAGUUACCAAUGUUACUUUUGUUCUCUUUAAAAUGUUUUAAAACUAUCCUUUGG